CAGCCGUAAACUAUGCGCGUUAGGUGUACUGGUGACCACGAGUCACCGGGGUGCCGAAGGGAAACCGUGAAACGUGCCGCCUGGGAAGUACGGUCGCAAGGCUGAAACUUAAAGGAAUUGGCGGGGGAGCACCACAACAGGUGGAGCCUGCGGUUUAAUUGGACUCAACGCCGGGAAGUUCACCGGAUAGGACAGCAGAAUGAUUGCCGGGCUGAAGACCCUGCAUGACUAGCUGAGAGGUGGUGCAUGGCGUCAGUGACU
This 261-nucleotide ribosomal RNA is filed under the name uncultured archaeon. RNAcentral describes it as "partial 16S ribosomal RNA". It matches the Rfam family "Archaeal small subunit ribosomal RNA", at positions 748 to 1008 of the family's 1478-position model. The record is from RNAcentral.